UUUCCUCUUGGUAAAUGAGGUAAGGCCUGCUCACUGAAUAUUAAAGAGCCGCAGUAUCCUAACUGUGCUAAGGUAGCAUAAUCAUUAGUCUUUUAAUUGGAGACUGGUAUGAAUGGCUAAACGAGAAAUUGACUUUUUUUGUUAUAAAAAUUGAAUUUAAUUUUUUAGUGAAAAAGCUAAAAUUUUUCAGAAAGACGAGAAGACCCUAUAGAGUUUUAUAUCUUUUAGUACUUUAUCUGAUUUGAUUUUUACAGAUAGAGUGUAGAAUAGGUAUUUUGUUGGGGCGACAUUAAGAUAUAAAAAACUCUUUUUUUUAGAAAUUUUUAUGAAAGUAUUCUUGAUCCUCUAAAAGAGAUCAAAAGAAAAAAUUACCUUAGGGAUAACAGCGUAAUCUUUUUUGAGAGUUCUAAUCGACAAAAAGGUUUGCGACCUCGAUGUUGGACUAAAAUUUAGGCAGGGUGCAGCAGUUCUGCUUUAAGGUCUGUUCGACCUAUAAUAUUUUACAUGAUCU
Molecule: ribosomal RNA, 511 nt
Filed under: Megabalanus occator
Lineage: Eukaryota; Metazoa; Arthropoda; Thecostraca; Balanomorpha; Balanidae
Description: partial 16S rRNA
Rfam family: Bacterial large subunit ribosomal RNA
Source: RNAcentral